ACGCUCGACACCUACGAGGAGGCAGCAGUGGGGAAUAUUGCACAAUGGGGAAACCCUGAUGCAGCAACGCCGCGUGAAGGAAGACGGUUUUCGGAUUGUAAACUUCUGUUCUUAGUGAAGAUAGUGACGGUAGCUAAGGAGCAAGCCACGGCUAACUACGUGCCAGCAGCCACGGUAAUCUGAGCGGCUGGCAAGGC
Molecule: ribosomal RNA, 197 nt
Filed under: uncultured bacterium
Lineage: Bacteria
Description: partial 16S ribosomal RNA
Rfam family: Bacterial small subunit ribosomal RNA
Source: RNAcentral